ACCUGGGUUCUAGUCUCAGUUCUUCCACUUUGUCUUUGGAGAUCACCAGAUUAUAAAAUUUCAAACUGGACUGGACCCAAAGAAAUCAUCUACUCUAACCCCCUCAUUUUAUAGAUUUGUAAACUGCUCCUCAAAGAGAUGAAAUGACUCAGUCCAGGAUGCAGCGUUGGCAGAGAGAGAUCUGACCCGGAUCCUUUCAUUCCAUAUCCAGUGCACACCAGGAUUUCUUUGCUCUGGGACUCUUUUUCUUCCUCUGAUAAGUAGGGAUAACAAUCCCUGUCCUGCUCUGCUUAAAGGGGGUUGGGAGGGUCAUGUAUUUAGAAGGCUGGGAAUCUAGGGAGCUUUGGCAGAGUUCCUUAAGAUCUCUGAGGCAGGUGGCUGACUUAGAGUGGCCAACCCUGCUUCAGAGAAACUCUCUGGUUGUCCUUUGUUAUGCAGAUGUACUCUUUGUUUUAAGGAGUGAGGAAUUAGCCCAAACAUGUGCAAGUAAUGAAUCCAGACCAAGUCCCGUUUAUAGAGAAAGAAAAGACUCUCAAAUUGCCUCUCUCCUUGGUUAUGCCCUACUUACCCAUUUUCUGGGCUAUCAGAGCUGUGGGGCAUGCUGGAAUGUAUCAAUUAGAAUCACAGAAAGUCAGAGCAGGGAGGGAACCGGGAAAUUAAGGGGGCAGGUGGGUGGCUCAGUGGAUGGAGAGCCAGGGAGUCCUGGGUUCAAAUCUAGCCUCAAACCCUUCCUCCGUGGGUUAACCUUGAGCAAGUCACCCCCCUUGCAUGUAGGACACACUGCUCUUCUGCCUUGGAACCAAUACACAGUAUUGAUUCCAAGAGGGUAGGUAACGGUUUUUAAAAAAGACUAGGGAAAUUAAGUGUUAGGAGAGGCCUUCCUUUCUGAGCUUGUUUUGUCAUCCCUCAAAUGAGGAUCAUAUUUUAUUUCAUUCCAUAUACCCCCAGCACACAGUUACAGCCAGGAAGGGCCUCUUAUGCAUUUUCUCUCUAUCCCUAUCCUGACUACGCUGACUGUCCUACAGUUUUGAGGGACUUAUGACAAAGAACGUUCUCCACCUCUGGAGAAAGAACUCUUGGUGUCAGAAAGCAGAUCAAAGCAGACUGUCUUUCACAUUAGUUUAUUUAUGGGUUUAAAUGUGUAUUCUCUUACAAAAAUGAACAAUAUGGAAAUAUGUUUUACAUGAUAAUACAUGUAUAACCCGGAUUGAGGUGUUUGCCAGCUCUGGGAGGGGGGAGGGAAGGAGACAAUUUGGAUCCUAUAACUUUGGAAAACUGAUGUGAGAAUGUAUAACUUGUAAUUGAUAAAACAAAAUAUCUUUUUAAUAUGCUGAUUUUCUAGCUCUUAUUCAAAAAAAGGUUUUCUCAAACCUACUGUUCCCCUAUUACAACAGCUAAACUUUAUAUAGCUUCUUAAGAUUUGCAAAGUGCUUACUUGAGCCUUAUACUAAACUUCUGGAAUAGAUAAUGCAGGUAACAUUAUAAUCAUUUUACAGAUGAGCAGACUGAGGCGUAGAGUAAUUAUGCAUCCUGCCCAUUUUUUACAUUGAGUAUACAGUUAGGAACAAGAUUUGAACCCAGGUCUUUCCAACACCAUGCUAAUCUGUUCCUAGGCUCAUACUUGAAGCCAUUGAAUAUGCCAGUCAAAGGAAUCUUGGAGUGGAGGCAGCCAAAGUUAUCAUACUGGGCCCUGUGUAACAAGAAAUUAAGCCAGGCUACCAAUACUAGCUCAUAUCCAGGGGUGAUUCAUGUAGACUUAUCUGGAUGAGGGUGAAGAUCAUUUGAAGAGAGCUUGUUCUGGCUGGAAAAAUCCUGUUGUUUCUUUCUUCCUCAUGUACCUUGGUCAUGUUUUCUUCAUCCUAGUUUUUGUUUUUUUUUAAUCAGUCUCCCCAUCAUGCCUUUGGUGUAGAGGGAUGUGGUUUCUGCCAAAUGUCUCCUAGCUACCAAUUAGCUAGCAUCACCUUGGAGGAGUAGACACUGAUGAAUUAGCAGGAUAAUAGAUAUGUGUGGGGACUGAACUUGGACUCCAAGAACCUGUGUUUGAAUCCUGACUGAGUGCUUACUCCCUGUAUGACCUCAGGCAGGUCAAAUGACUCCCUUCUCCACACCUCAGCUUUGAGGUACUGGAUUAAAUUAUCUCAAAAAAUCACUUCCAUGCCAGAGAGGCAGUAUGGAAGGGUGGAAGGACCAUUCAGUUUGGAAUCAGGAGAGACAUGCCGCUGUGUGGCACUAAGUGAGUUCAUUUGAUAUCUUUAAGCCUGAAUUUCUUUUAUCUCAAAAAAAAUUUUUUUUAAGUUUUACUGAUGUGCUUUUGUUUUUACAUUGCAAUCAGUUCCAGAUUACUCUGACUCUUGUAACACAGUAAAACGAUUCAGCUAACCUCAAGAUAUAGUGACUUUAUCUGAAAGUGCAGGCAGCACACUACAUCUUUAGCACCCUCCCAACCUCUCGAGUUCUUUUUUUUAAUUAACAGACAUCUAUUUUCUUCCCCUCCCAAUCCUACCCAAAUAAAAAAAGAGAAAAGAAAAACAUCUCUCGUAACAAAUAUGCAUAGUCAAGCAAAACACCCCAAGGAGAUCAAAGAAAUAGGAAAAAGUCUUUUAUGUACAAAAAUAUUCAUGUCAGCUCUUUUUGUGGUAUUAAAAAAACAACCUGGAAAGGCAUGCCUGAAUGAUGACUGAAUAAUUUGGGGUAUAUAAAUGUGAUGGAGAACUACUGAGGCAAUGAGCAAAUAGAUAAUUUUGAAGAGACGUGGAAAGACUCGUAUGAACGGAUACAUAGGGAAGAGAGCAGAACCAGAAGAACAAUUUGUCCUGAAACAUCAAUAUUAUAAAAAUGAACAGAAUUAUACAUUGGUUCUUUUCAAGGAAACUGUUUCCCCUUGAAUUGUUUGCUUUUCAGAAGGCAGAACCCUAGUUGCUGAGACCAAAUACCUUGGGCAAUCUUGAUUUCAUCUAACACUACAAAAGUUUCCCACAACACGUGUGGGGACGAGUGAUUGUGGAAUUAUUCCUGUGUAAACCCUGUUCUGGGGUCCAAGGAGCAUGGAAAUGUGGCUCUCAUGUGGCUCCGCUCUCAAGGAACUUAUAGUCUAGUAGUGGAGACAGGAGCUUCAUUGUGCCAUUGGGGCCAUUGAAAGGGCCUUUAUAGCAGGGAAUCUGGAGAACUGGAUUCUGGUUCUGCCACAAGCUUGUAGAGUAACCCUGGACAAGCCCUUUUAAUUCACUGGGCCUCAGUUUCCUGGUCUUUACAUUGAGAGGGUUGGAGUGGAUGACCUCUAAAGACUCUUUGAGCAGUACAGUUCUGGUCUAUAAUUGACUCUAAAGAGACAGAAUAUGUGGUUGUGUGUCCUCAGAGCUACAGAAGAUGCAUGAACAAAGAUUUGGGGAAGGUCCAAAAAAGGAAAACUUUUGGGGCUGCCACUCACCCUGGUGAUCCAUUGGACUUGAUAAAUCUUUUUUUCUUCUCCAAGCUGUUGUAUACUUGUACCUGCUGAGUCUUUGAAUACAAAGGUGAGGUUUCAUAUGUUUUGCUGUUUGCUCUCAGGGGUUUUCCAUGGAAUCCCAGAGCUUUCUCAUGAUGGAUAGAGUCAUAAUAUGAAGGCCCUAAAAAGGGAACCUGGAAACAGGACUGUUUAUCUCUAUUAAAUCUCUCUGGGCAGGGAUUCUCUCUUUUACAGAAGAGGGAACUGAGGACCAGAGUGGUUCAAGGAUGUGCUUCAGGUCAUGCAGCUAGUUAACAAGACCUUGAUUCUUCCUACCCCAAAGGCAGGCUUUUCUCUCCUUGCCAGACUCUGCCUCAACUAAAACUAUUUAUCUGGCACACAAGGAAUUUCCAUAAGAUUCCUGUCCUUCUCCCUUCCCUCCAUACCCUAAAGCUUCUCUGGAAGGAAGCAUCCCUAGAAGAGGUGACAAGAAGGAAGCGAAUGGGCUCUGCAGUCCUGAGUUAGAAUAAUGCAGUUUCUAAAUGGAGUUUUUGUGCAGCCCAAGCAGACUAGAAUUGGGAAGCUGUGGUUCACUUGGGCACGCCAGACAGGCUGGAGCCCGAUAAGACCUAUCUCUUCCUAGCACAAAGGCCUGCUCUGUAUUCUGAUCAACUCCACAGCCUUUGGUAGUGAACACUGAGGACUGCUCACUGGACUCUGCUGCUGCUGCGUGACUGAAUCAGCUGCUUUUAAGGCUCUCCUUCUCCCUCUGUCUUGGUUGACGUGGCUCACUUUGCCCCCUCUGAGCCUUGCUGGGCCAAGUAAACAGGCAGGGCAGCUACAACCCUGUGCUAUAGGGAUGCCUCCCUUCAUCCUUAGGGAUGCUUGAACUUUGGAGGAUAAAACAGGGCCUGAGACUCAGGCUGAGAUGAAAGCAUCCUGGAUCCCUAAGCACCUAAAUGUCGAUUGUACCCUUUAGAGCUAGAACAGGUCUUGGAGAGAGAUCACAUGCUCCCAUGCCCUCAUUUUAGGAGCAAAGAAAUCAGUGAGGCCCCCAAAAGGGAAGGGACUUCAUCUCACCUCAUUGAACAUUUGCUUGGCAGCAGGGUGGUACAGUAGAUGGAGUUCUGGGUAUGGAGUCAAGAAGAACUGCGUUCAAAUCUAGUCUCAGACAUUUACUGUCUGGGUGCCUCUGGGCAAGCCACUUGGCAUCUGUCUGCCUCAGUGUAAAAUGAGAAUUAUAACUGUCCCUAACUUACAAGGUUUGGAUUUGAACACAGGUUUUCCUAACUCCAGGCCCAACAUCUAUCCACUGGGACCCAUGGAAGAAAUUGGCAUCUUGGUAAGUCAUGUCUAUUGGGCCCCCCACUUCUGCCAUACUUGAAGGACCUUAUUUUCUCCAUGGGGGUUGCUGAGGGCAAAUGGACAAAAGGCAAGACAUCAGAUCAGAAGUUCUUCAUCCAGUGUGACAGGAGGCAGACCCUGCUCCUGGACACUUUCCAUGGAAUCUCAUAUUGGAGAGAGAAUCAUAACACGGAGGCCUUGAAAAGGAACUUGGAGUAGAGUAGGGGACGUGAGAACAGAACAUGCAGUGUCCAAGCUGGAAGCCCUGAUGGUUGAAUGUUCCAGGGGUAGCAAGUGGUGUCAUCAUUUCUUCCUCCUUUUCAUCAUACAGAUGAGGAAGCAGAGAGAGACAAAGGGACACCCCAAUUCUUGGCAGACCCAGGUCUGGCAUGUGGGGCUCCCGUCCCUCAUUCCAGGGUGCUUUGCAUUCUUCCAGCUGCUGGGUUCAGUGUUUUAUUGUCCAAAGUCAGCUGGAAAAAUUUGCUGCAGGCAAACUUUCUACCAAAGGUCUCAUCCUGGGAGGUAUUUUCCUUUAAAAUGUGGCUAUUAAUCACUGUAACUGAAAUGGGCAUAAUCAGUUACUUAAAAUGCUGAGCCUGAGCGUGUCAGAGAAUCCUCUCUUCUGUCCUGUGGAGUCGCCAUGCAUUGUCUUAUCAGUGGAGAUUGGAUAUGCAGAAAUAGGUUUCCGGCUUCCUGGGAUUGCAGCAGGUUCUGCCUAAAACUGUGAUUAGUAAAAUAUAAAAGCAGGAGAUGUGUACAUCAGUGCAUGGAGUGCAGGACUUAAUUAACCCAGUGGUCUGUGAAGGGAAGGAGCCUCAGUUGAGGUGACCCUCCCUCCCUCAGUAUUAGAGAUUGAUGGGACCCCAGACUCCACUCUCUGGAAUCAGUUAUACCUAUAUCAUUUGGAGACUCGUGCUUAUCAGUGCUAACCCCACUGUAAGCUGACAGACUCAAGAAAGUGCCCUGCUUCCCUUCUGUUGUCCAGAAACAGCUUGAGAGAGAAGAGGGUGCUCUGGGGCAAUGCUCAUUCUCUCUCGGGGACAUAGAAGAUGAUACCCACUUUUCUGUCCCCUAAACAUCAGGACCUAAGGUGCUGACUCAGAAGGAAAUACCCACACAGGCAUCUGGGAGAAAGUUGGGGCUUCAGACUCUCCAAGAACAGUUCCUUGUAUCAUUGAUCCUAGAUGGACUUCCUCUGUUUCUAAGCAUGCAAAGUCCUGAGUCACUCCUCAACGAAGCUGGUGAGCAGCUGCUCUGAUGGCCAACCCUUGGAGACUCCUGGUGCUUGUUGACCGAGAAGCAAGAUUCUGAGAGCUUUGUUAAAUGGAGAGUCUAAUCCCCAACCCUGAGGAAAUGGAGAUCCAGGGCAGGUGAGGGGACUCACCCCAGAUCCUGCCCAGACCAAAUGGCUGAACCUAGCAAUUGCCAACACAUAGGUAAAGUGGCAAAGUACGUUACAUGCAUGAUCUUGUUGGAUGUAAUCACAGAGAUUGUUCAAUGAUUUCUUGCUAUCAAUAUCGACUGAGGGAUAAAACCAGGCAAAGGGUGUGUUGCUCCAUUCUCCAUUGCCAUAGGACAUGUCCUGCUUGGGUGGAAUACAGAUGGAAGAAGGAUUCUCUGGGGAUGUGGAAGUCCUCCAAAUGUUCCUCUAUAUGGAGAAUUGCGUCAAGCCCCAGAAUGCUACAGAAAAAAUGGAUGAAGACAAGACAUUUGUCUAGACAAGGUUGGGCUGAGAAGAUGUAGAUGUGGUGGUUUCAUAAUGAAACAGGAAGAAGUGAGAGGAGGGACUGUAUUGGGGACUUUCCACAGUUACAAACUGCCUCCUUUUUAAUUUUUCAUUUUUUAUCUCUAAUCUGCAUGGCCAUGUCCAAACAUCUGUGUCCCCUUCUUUACCCAGCCCCUCAUUUCUCUGUCAGAGUCUUCUGGAAUGAGAGCUGGUUAUUGUAUUGAUUAGUUUCUUAAACCUGACACCAUCUUUUUAAUACUAUGACUUUUCUAUGUUAUAUGGCUGCCCAUAAUGGAGCAUUUUGAUCCUCUAAGAAUCAGUAUUUUGACUGGAUUACUGGGCAGUGAAAGGCUAUGUGGUUGGCAAAAGGCAGCAGUGAAUCAUCCAUGUUGACUUCUGUGCAAGAAAUGGCUCAAGGGAAAUCUUCCAGCAGGCAGAUAUCUGAUGGGAUAUUAUUACAUAUAUUAUGACAUGGCCAGCCAUGUAGUGAAAGGGAGGGGUAACAAGUGCUAAGUCUGGAGGCUAACCUAGGUGCACACAAAAGAUGAAGGGACCUGGGAGAGGUACUUCUCACCUGCUUACAUGUUGGGGAGGUCCUCUUUGGAGAGGAUACACACCAGCCAGCUAGAAUGAGAAGGAAUGUGUGGGGUGGAAUUCAGAAUGUUAGCUUGUGUGAGUGGAAUGCAGUUUUUGGCACCUCCUAGUGAGGUGGAAGGACUUUGAGGAGGUUUGGUGAGAAUAAAAGAAUGAGAAGUCAAGAUAUUGGAGAUAGGCAUCUUUCCUGGCCUCUUCUGUUUCUUCUCGUUGUCUGCCACCAGAAAUACAGAGAAGGCUUCUCAGUGUCAUGGAGCAGCACAGGGAAGAAGGCAAUCUCCCUACCUGGAUGGCUUUAUCCUUGCUUCCCUCAUCAGUGUAUGUGUGGAGAAGUGAUGUUGAAUGAUAAAAACCAGCUCUGUGUCCAUUUGUGUGAUUAACUUUCAUAUGGCUAAAAGGUUGUCACUGAUUGUUGCCCAAGUUGUUUCAGGGGUUUCUCCCCCUGCCUCCCUAUGAGCCAUAAUACUUCCCUGUUUAACCAAGUCAGGAAGGUUCCUGGGGAAAUCUUUCUGUAGUCUUAGAAGCGGUACCAAUACCACAUUAGGUCUUCCUCACCGUUCAUCUGCAUGGGGAGGGUGCUUACUGCUGACCUUUCCCAGUUCUUUUUUCUACCAGGAAGGUGGCUUGCAGGGGAGGAUAGAGGAGUCAGAUGCCUUUUGUGAGACAGCAAGUUCUAGUUCUAGCUCUGGCUUGGACCUGAGGAUUGGAGUCCUGGCCUUAGCCAAAGAUCUGACGACUACCAGGAGUGGGAAUUGUCCUCCCCCUUCCCCAUGCCUCCAGCCCAAGGAGACCCACAUCUCUGCACUGCUAUCCAAAGGGCAAAAUACUCAUUUCUUCCAUCAAACAAUAUCGUUGCCAAGGCUAACUCACCACCUACAAUGAGUAAAUUAAAUAUUGACUAUUUCAUUGACUGUUAGAUUUAAUUUGCAGCAAUCACACUGGAGCUGUAAUGGGAGCUGGGAAUGCCUUACUAUUUCAUCUGAGCUGUCAUCCCCCUUAAGUGUUGAAUAAUGAGGAAAAGAUGGACUUGACGGAAGAAAGGAGUCCCCUUUGUCGCACUCAUAUUCCCAAGAAUCAGAGAAUGUCAAUGCUGGGACUCCUUACGUGAUAGAGGAAGAAACUGAGGGAAGCAAGGAGAUUUAUGGAAUCAGCAAAUUUAGAGCAGGAAUGGAUUUUAGAAAACGUCUAGGCCAAUCCUCUUCUUUCACAGAGAAGGCUCAGAGUGAUUCAAGGACUUGCCCAAGCUUAUACAUAGUGGAAGCAGGAUUCAAACCCAAGUUUCUGGAAUCCUCAAUGCUAAGAAAAACAGUUAAUACAUCAGUUGUGAAUUCCCUUUGAGGCUCAAGCCCUUUGGAUGCCUCAGUUACCUGCAUGGAUAUCGUUUUAUGGGGGCUCCCCAUAAAACCUCACUCAUCUUUGAAAGGGCCUGCCCCUAUCCCACCCCAAAGCAGUAGAGGAUCCUCUCUAUUACUGAAUGGAUCAGGGGCUGCCUGGAGGAGGAGGAUCUGCCCAGAGUCAUCCAGCGUGCAUCUGAGACAGGCUCAAGACCUGAUUUCCCUACCUGAAGAACCAGGCCUCAGACUCUGGGAUGGACUGUAGGAGGCUACCAUUUAAAUAGAGACUCAGUAUGGUGAGAGAUCAGCCCUAGGCUUCCCAGGGACUAAGGCAGAAUUUGGACCUAUGCCCCCCUGCCUCUGUUUAGUUGAUUCUGGAAGCCUGGACUCAGAAUCUUUGGCUCUGGCCUCCAGUCUCAGGCUCUGACCCUUUGUGGCUGUGGGGCCUCAAACCGAGUCAUCACGCCACUCUGGUCCUCUGCAAGGUGGGACGAGCUGUUCUUUCGCCUCCCUCCUCCAGGGAGGUUCUCAGGACAGAACCGGGUCUGGGUCGGUGCUCCUGAGUCCUAGAGAAAUGGCCAAGUUCACAAGAGCCCAUAUUUUUAUGUAGGCAUUAUGGAGUAGCUGUUAUGUCCCAGGCCCUAUCCUAGGCCUUUGGGAGGCAGACAGAAAUGAUUAAAAAAAGACUUCCAGGACUAGGUGGUUCAGUGGAUAAAAAGCAAGGCUUGGAAGUGGGAGGUCCUGGGUUCAAAUGUGACCUCAGAUACUUCCUAGAUCUAUGACCCUGGGCAAGUCACUUAACCCCAGUGGCCUAGCCUUUACUGCUCUUCUUAUAUCUGGACUGAUAGUUGUAUUGAUUCUAAGUCAAAAGGUAAAGGUUUUUUAAAAAAUGACUUCAGUAUGCCCCGAUGGCUCUGAUAUCUCCUGGAAAUGCAAUUCCCUUCAAUAACUCAGAUGCAACUCUCUUUGCUGCUAGGUGCCUGCCUUGUUUCUCCCGUCAUCCAGAAGAUGCCCAUCUAGCCUUGGGGCGGUCUGCCUGUCCGCAAGGGAAGAUUGCUUUGCUUUGAAACCAAGACUUUUGCACCCCUCUCCCUUUUUAGCUGGAGAGACCCCCUAGGAGCCUUAAAACUCCCCAGAAACCUGGAGCAAGGGUGGGGCUAGGGAACUGUUUUUCCUCCCUUCUCCUGCCCGGGAUCUCUUGGAACUGGGCUUCACAGGGACCCUGGGACGAUGUGACAUGGGCUUUACAGAAACGGCAUCAUCAGAGGGGGAAGAACUUCUUCAAGACCCCCCAGCAAUGGAGUGGCAGAGCUGAGAGGCCUGGGGGCUGCGGUUGGGGCAUCUCAUCCCCCAGCAUUGAAGUUAGCAGUCUUACAAAAAUAGUUUUGCUCCUCUUUAAUCAUUCGCAGGUUUCAACUUUGGAGCCUGAUGACUUAGGAAAUCGGUUUUCCUAGCCAUGUGGCUUUCUAAGCUCCUUGUGGGCAGCUGCUGACCUCUGGCUCCUGGAAUCUCUGCUGUCACCCCUGUGCCAAGGAAACGAGAUUGCAGAGACCUAAUUCACCUAAUUCAAUCAAGCAGCAGCUCAUGCUCUUAACAAUCCUUUAUUUGUCUUUAAAUGGAAGGGCUAGGAAGGUGCCAGGUUUCAGGGCCAUAUCACCAGGGAAAUAGCAGAGAGCUCCAAGGAGAACAUCCCAUGAGUCGUCUCCUCAUACCUUUGGAUAGAAAAGCUCCUCCCCUGGGGCCUUAGCAGCUUCUGGGGGGGGGGGGCGGGGGCAAUCUUUGGGGCAGAAGGAAAGGAAAAUCACAAUUCAGAUUCAUUGAUCAGUCACUGAACAUUGAUUAAGCACCUACUGUGUACCAGGACAGAAAUGAAGUAGCUCCUUCCCUAAAAGAGUUUGCAUUCCAAUGGGGAGAUAAGCUAUACACAUUUGAGGGUGUAGACAGCAUAUAUUUUGUUGUUUAGUCAUUUCAGAUUUAUCUGACCCUCUGUGACCCCAAAGAGUAGAGGAAGAGGACCUAGUGAUAGUUGUGCUUUAGGGCAGUCCCUUUCAUGACUCUGUGGAGAAUGGGUCCAAGGCUCAGACACAGAGACCAGUUAGGGGGCUUUUGGCAUAAUGGUGAAAGGGGAUGUGAGCCAAUGAGCAUAGGGACCAUGGGAGAGAUUCUGGGAGGGGCAAAGAUGAGAACCACAGCAUGGAUAUUUGGAGAGAGAGAGAGAGAGAAUUUGUGGUCAAGGAUGAAGCAAGGCUUUACCCCAGGAGUCUAACCUCUGCUGACUAUAGAGAUCUGAGAAUCCUCUGCACAGAGAGCAUACCUGAAGCCAUCGGAGCUGUAAAAGGGUAGAGACAAAGAGAAGAGGGCCCAGGAGAGAAGCCUGGGGGCACUCUGUGGGCAUGUUGUCAGAAGCACUGUUUUUUAAAUGUUAUUUAAUUGAUUAAUUUAGAAUAUUUUUCCAUGGUUACAUGAUUCAUGUUCUUACCCUCCCCUCCUCCCACCCCCCUCCCGUAGCCAAUGUGUAAUUCCACUGGGUUUUACAUGUGUCAUUGAUCAAGAUCUGUUUCCAUAUUACUGAUAUGUGCACUAGGGUGAUCAUUUAGAGUCUAUAUCCCCAAUCAUAUCCCCUUCAACCCAUGUGAUCAAGCAGUUGUUUUUCUUCUGUGUUUCUACUCCCACAGUUCUUUCUCUGAAUGUGGAAAGCUUUCUUGCUCAUGAGUCCCUCCGAAUUGUUCUGGGUCAUUGCAUUGCUGCUAGUAGAGAAGUCCAUUACAUUUGAUUGUACCACAGUGUAUCUGUCUCUGUGUACAAUGUUCUCCUGGUUCUGCUCCUUUCACUCUGCAUCAAUUCCUGGAGGUCGUUCCAGUUCACAUGGAAUCCCUCCAGUUUAUCAUUCCUUUAAGCAUAACAGUAUUCCAUCACCAAUAGAUACCACAAUUUGUUCAGCCAUUCCCCAAUUGAAGGGCAUCCCCUCAUUUUCCAAUUUUUUGCCACCAAAAAGAGCGCAGCUAUGAAUAUUCUUGUACAGGUCUUUUUCCUUAUUAUCUCUUUGGGGUACAAACCCAGCAGUGCUGUGGCUGGGUCAAAGGGCAGACAGUCUUUUAGUGCCCUUUGGGCAUAGUUCCAAAUUGCCCUCCAGAAUGGUUGGAUCAAUUAAUUCACAACUCCACCAGCAAUGCAUUAAUGUCCCUGUUUUCCACAUCCCCUCCAACGUUUGUUACUUUUCCUUUGCUGUCGUGUUAGUCAAUCUACUAGGUUUAAAUCAGAAGCAUUUCAGAAGCUUCCUGCAGGGUGGAGGCCAUUGGACCAGCCAUUACACAACUCUAGAAGACCUUAGGAACCAUCACAUACAACACUAAUUUUUCUUGAAGAGGAAACUGAGGUUCAGAGAGGGAGGGACUUGCCUAAGGCUCACUAAAUCAUAUGUAUGAGAUUCAAAUCCAGGCCCCACACUCGAUGCAGGGAGAGUUCUGGGACUCAGUGGCCUCCUCUGUCCAACAAGGGGGUCCCCUCUAAGGAUCCCCCAGCUCUUUUAUUUUCUGGCUGUGGAACCACUUUUCCAUGAAGACUUCUCUGGAGAGGAUCUUGGAUUAGGGGCCAAAGGCCCUGCUCAUUGCCUGUAAGACUGUGUCUCAGUGGCUUCCUCUGUCAGAGUUGGGGAUCAGGCUCAAUGGCCUGGGGUCCCUUCCAGAUCCUAUAAGCUCCCUAUCCUGAUGCAGUCACAGACACUCUCCUCCCUCUACUCCCCCUCUCUCCAAUAUGGAAAGGAAUAUUUUGGGUAUUUAGGCAACACUGGGCCUGGAAUUAGGAAGACCUGAGUUCUAAUCUAGCCUCAGACACAUGCUAGUUAUGUGACCCUGAGCAAGUAACUUUACCUUUGUUUGCCUCUGUUUCCUCAUCUAUAAAAUGAGGAUAACAGUAGCAGCUUCUUCCCAGAGUUUUGAGGGUCAAAUGAGACAAAGAUUGUAAAGUCCUCACCAUAGUGCUGGGAACACAGAACUAUAGAAAUGGUAGCUUUUAUUAUUCUUGCUGCUGGUGAUGUGAUUUUAAUGUUGGGUUCUUCUCAUCAGCCAAACAUCUACCUUUUCUUCUUUCUGACGUCUUCUUUUCCUGGUAAAGGGAAGAGAAGGAAAGGAGGUGACACAGAGAAUCACAUUUUCAUCAUUUCUCAGUAAAUCAGGCAGAGGCUUUAGACACACUCGAAGCUGAAGUCACAAAAUCAUGUCAGAACCUGCCAGCACUGGAAAAGGCACUUCCCAGUGGGGUGACUGCCGAGUCAUUGCAACUCCACAAGGUUCAGUUUCCUCAUCUGUAGAAGGGGACAAUGCUGUUCAGAGCAUCAACUUGGCACUGUUGUGAAAAGCAGAGGAGACAAUGAUGUAGCCAAGAAAUGUCAGCUCCUGUGAAAAGUUAUGGAUCUGGAAAACAAACCAGAGAAAAGAAUGGCAUAUGGGAUCACAGAGUGUUGGACAUUAUUGAAAUAACCAAACAGCAUUAAUAGUCACAUUCUUGUCACAUUCUUUUCUUCUUUCUGGGUGAGGCUCAGAUAGAACCAAUCCUGGGAUAAGGCACCAGCCAGCUAGAAUUCUUUUACAGUUGAUGUUCUAUGGACUAUUGUACUAGACAGUGGAAAAAAAGAUUGCUCUUAUCCACGUUGAAACAAUUAUAAUUAAUUAUUAGUCAUAUUGUUAGUCCAGCCCACUCAUUUCACAAAUGGAGAAACUGAGGCCUAGGAAGCAGGGACAUGCGGAAGCUCACCCAUCUUCUUCUUGGGGCUAAGCUGGAAGUGGAAUCCCAGUCUGUAAGUGGGAACAUGGAGCUCACCCAGUCUGACUCCAGGGAAGCACCUGCCAGUAUUUUGGGCAGUUUUUGCCACUCUCUCCUCUAAAAGGGAUAAUUGUGUCGGCUGAGUUUCUUCACUCUGCUCUCUAUGGUUAUCACCAAGGUCAAAGGAAUUAAAGUUUAACUCGAAAGUUCUUUACUCCAGUCUGGAGAUCUAUAAUUUCCUAGUCAUUUCCCUCCCCAGCUGACAUUCCACGCCUUAUAGAUUAAAAAUCUGAGCCCACAGGGCCAUAGGAGAAGAGGAGCAAGAGGAGACAUGCCAUCCUAUAGGUUGUGGAAGAGAAAGGAGGAAGAUGCUAAUUCAAGAAGGAAUGACUUUGGCCUGUUUAUAUAGAGGAGCCUGGAUUGUUUCCUAAACCCAAAUUAUGGGGAAAAGGCUCUUCUCUGAUCAUAGGAAGGAAUUAUUUGUGUUAUUAAUAUGUGCCAAGUACUGGAGCAUUGUAUUGCUAUGAGAUGUGAAGGUGCUGUGGAGGGAGAGGAAAAGGAAGGACAAAUGGGAAAAAGGAAAGAAAGAAAUGUAAGGAAGAAGAAAAGGAGGGAAAAUAAAGAAAGAGAUAGAAAAUGUUAUAAAUUUUUUUAAAAUGUUUUAAAAUGUUGGAUUUGAGUCCUAUAUUGCCUCUAGAGUUAGAGACCUGGGUUAAAUUCCAUCUUGGAUAUCUCAUUCCUAAGUGACCAAGGGCCAAUCUUUCCCCUCAGUUUUCUUUUUUAUUUAAUGAGGAAAUUGGACAAUGUUCUUGCUGGCUCUAGAUAUGGACUCUGAUAAUCCCUAUGAACUCAGAAAGGAUGUUCCUUUACUCUGAACCUAAUUUUCUUCAUCUGUAAUCUAGGGGAAUUGGACUAACAGUUGGCCUCUCCCAGUUCUGCCAUAUCCUUUUUGAGAGCCCUCCCUUUCCAGCUUUGCCAUCCCCUAUUCUAAGCUCCCUUUCCAGCUCUGACAUGCCAAGAACCCAGGGAAGUGAGUGGCGCUAACAGUAAUGAAAGAGGCAGGAUAGAAAUGUCCUUCAGGAAGCUGAAGGAAAGAGAAGGAGCAUUGUACAUAGUCAGGAGAAUCUGAAUUUGAAUCUGAUGGUGAAGUGGAUAGACCUGGAAUCAGGAAGAUUCAUCUUCCUUGAUUCAAAUUUGGCCUGAGACACUUACUAGCAGUAAGUGAAGUCACUGAAGGCAACACAAGGAGAUUGUUUUCUAGGCAUCUCCUCUCCUGAGUUCAAACACCACCUCUGUCCAUGGUCACCCACUGAGUUAGGGCCUGGGCCCGUAGGAAUGAUCCCUGGAGCCCCCUGCCUCCUGCUCUAGCCUGUCUUUGAAUCUUCCAGCUAUUUUCCAGGGUUUCCAGGGCCUCCUGCAUUUGGAAAAUGACUAGGUCUCGGGCAGGGUUAGUUUGGGAUCUAGCCACUGUUGGAACACAGCUAAGUUUUUAUCAGAGAAUACCAGUGGAUCAUUGGAAAAGCAUGCAUUGAGCUCAAUUACAUGAGCCUUUGUCAAAAUUGUAUACUUAUGAGGUAGGUAUUCAGGAGAUCAUUUCCAUUAGUACAACUAAACAAAGGACCCUGGCCAUGUUGGACACAUUCUCUCUCUCUCUCUCUCUCUCUCUCUCUUUCUCUCUCUCUCUCUCUCUCUCUCUCUCUCU
Non-coding RNA from Monodelphis domestica (gray short-tailed opossum), 14885 nucleotides. Lineage: Eukaryota; Metazoa; Chordata; Mammalia; Didelphimorphia; Didelphidae. The record is from RefSeq and is a predicted model, not a curated record.